This 253-nucleotide ribosomal RNA is filed under the name uncultured bacterium. RNAcentral's name for it is "partial 16S ribosomal RNA". It matches the Rfam family "Bacterial small subunit ribosomal RNA", at positions 524 to 776 of the family's 1533-position model. The record is from RNAcentral.
UACGUAGGGGGCAAGCGUUAUCCGGAUUUACUGGGUGUAAAGGGGGCGCAGACGGCAAUGCAAGCCAGGAGUGAAAGCCCGGGGCCCAACCCCGGGACUGCUCUUGGAACUGCAUGGCUGGAGUACAGGAGGGGCAGGCGGAAUUCCUAGUGUAGCGGUGAAAUGCGUAGAUAUCAGGAGGAACACCGGUGGCGAAGGCGGCCUGCUGGACUGCAACUGACGUUGAGGCCCGAAAGCGUGGGGAGCAAACAGG